CAGCUCCUUUCCUCUCUGGGAUCAAUCUCCUCCCUGGAUCCCAGCUCCUUUCCUCUCUGGGAUCCAUCUCCUCCCUGGAUCCCACCCGUUUUCCUCUCUGGGAUCCAUCUCCGCCCUGGAUCCCAGCUCCUUUUCUCCUUGGGAUCCAUUUCCUCUCCUCCCUGGAUCCCAGCUUCUCUUCCUCUCUGGGACCCAUCUCCUCCCUGGAUCCCACCUCCUUUCCUCUCUGGGAUCCAUCUCUUCUCCUCCCUGGAUCCCAGCUUCUUUUCUCCCUGGGAUUCACACCCUCUUGUCCCUCUUGUCUUCUGAAUCUCAGCUCCUCUUCCUCUCUGGGAUCCAUCUCCUCUCCUCCUGGAUCCCAGCUCCUCUUCCUCUCUGGGAUCCAUUUCCUCCCUGGAUCCCAGCUCCUUUUCUCUCUGGGAUCCAUCUCCUCUUCUCCCUGGAUUCCAGCUCCUUUUCUUCUUGGGAUUCACACCCUCUUGUCCCUGUAUUUCUUGAAUCCUAGCUGCUCUUCCUCCUGGGAUCCAUCUCCUCCCUGGAUCCCAGCUCCUCUUCCUCUCUGGGAACCAUUUCCUCUCCUCCCAGGAUCCCAGCUUCUCUUCCUCUGGGAUCCAUCUCCUCCCUGGAUCCCAGGUUCUCUUCCUCUGGGAUCCAUCUCCUCUCCUCCCUGGAUCCCACCCAUCUCCUCCCUGGAUCUCAGCUCCUUUUCUCCUUGGGAUUCAGUCCCUCUUAUCCCUGUAUCUUCUGAAUCCCGGCUCCUCUUCCUCACUGGGAUUCAUCUCCUCCCUGAAUCCCAGCUCCUCUUCCUUUUGGGGAUCCAUUUCCUCUCCUCCCUGGGUCCCAGCUCCUUUUCUCCCUGGGAUUCACACCCUCUUGUCCCUGUAUUUCUUGAAUCCUACCCCCUUUCCUCUCUGUGAUCCAUUUCCUCUCCUCCCUGGAUCCCACCCCCUUUGCUGUCUGGGAUCCAUCUCCUCCCUAGAUCCCAACCCCUUUCCUCCCUGGAUGCCAGCCCCUUUCCUCUCUGGGAUGCCAACCCCUCUCCUCCCUGGAUGCCAGCCCCUCUCCCCCCAUGUGAUCCCAAUUAAUACCAAGCCAGCUGCUUCUCUGAUGGGGGCACGCCAACGCUGGGCACGGUGGCAUCUCCAAACCCUUCCCGCUGUGUCCUCCCCUCCCAUCCCCCU
Molecule: long non-coding RNA, 1181 nt
Filed under: Lonchura striata (white-rumped munia)
Lineage: Eukaryota; Metazoa; Chordata; Aves; Passeriformes; Estrildidae
Description: domestica (Bengalese finch) lncRNA (ENSLSDG00000013291.1)
Source: RNAcentral